RNAcentral lists this long non-coding RNA (464 nucleotides) under Hordeum vulgare. RNAcentral's name for it is "long non-coding RNA (HVUL_LNC017666)". Lineage: Eukaryota; Viridiplantae; Streptophyta; Magnoliopsida; Poales; Poaceae. The record is from RNAcentral.
AUGCAUCGCCUUGUUUCGCCCACAUGUCAGUUGGAUAAUACGAAAGGAUUAAAAAAAAAUGUUCGUAGGUGCCGUCAAUUAGCCUGAGAUCAGAAGAACGAACGCUCAAUACCCUCGGCCGUAGGUGCCGCCCGCGCCGCCGUCGACUGCCCCCUCGGCCGUCCGUGCCGCCAGCGCCGCCCCCGACUGCCCGGGCGAGGGUCCUUAGAUCCGGCGAGUUGGGAGUGUGGGCGCCAUCUUCCAGAUCCUGUCCAAGUCGCCGCCAGCGCUGACGAGCCAAUCGCCAACUGUCGUGCGUAGGAGUCAGCCACCGACCGCCGUUUCUGCAACAAUCACUUCUCGUUGCCCCGCCUCAACAUCGGCCCAGUUAGGUACGUCUCAGGUGAAAAUCUGAAUUUGAUCUGUUCAUGAACGCUUGAGCGUACAGAGAGAAAUAAGAUGGUUUUCUCCUUGAUAUUGUUUUU